Molecule: ribosomal RNA, 407 nt
Filed under: uncultured bacterium
Lineage: Bacteria
Description: partial 16S ribosomal RNA
Rfam family: Bacterial small subunit ribosomal RNA
Source: RNAcentral
GACGAACGCUGGCGGCGUGCUUACCACAUGCAAGUCGAACGAAGUGGCGAACGGGUGAGUAACGCGUAAUCAACCUGCCCUUCAGAGGGGGACAACAGGUGGAAACGACUGAUAAUACCGCAUACUGACGGAGGGGAUUGCGUCUGAUUAGCUAGUUGGAGGGGUAACGGCCCACCAGGGCGAUGAUCAGUAGCCGGUCUGAGAGGAUGACCAGCAACACUGGAACUGAGACACGGUCCAGACUCCUACGGGAGGCAGCAGUGGGGAAUAUUGCACAAUGGGCGCAAGCCUGAUUCAGCCAUGCCGCGUGUGUGAAGAAGGCCUUCGGGUUGUAAAGCACUUUCAUCGGGGAGCGUUACCCGCAGAAGAAGCACCGGCUAACUCCGUGCCAGCAGCCGCGGUAAUAC